RNAcentral lists this ribosomal RNA (484 nucleotides) under uncultured bacterium. Its description in RNAcentral is "partial 16S ribosomal RNA". It matches the Rfam family "Bacterial small subunit ribosomal RNA", at positions 30 to 507 of the family's 1533-position model. The record is from RNAcentral.
AUUGAACGCUGGCGGCAGGCCUAACACAUGCAAGUCGAGCGGAUGAAGGGAGCUUGCUCCUGGAUUCAGCUGCGGACGGGUGAGUAAUGCCUAGGAAUCUGCCUGGUAGUUGGGGAUAACGUCCGGAAACGGGCGCUAAUACCGCAUACGUCCUGAGGGAGAAAGUGGGGGAUCUUCGGACCUCACGCUAUCAGAUGAUCCUAGGUCGGAUUAGCUAGUUGGUGGGGUAAAGGCCUACCAAGGCGACGAUCCGUAACUGGUCUGAGAGGAUGAUCAGUCACACUGGAACUGAGACACGGUCCAGACUCCUACGGGAGGCAGCAGUGGGGAAUAUUGGACAAUGGGCGAAAGCCUGAUCCAGCCAUGCCGCGUGUGUGAAGAAGGUCUUCGGAUUGUAAAGCACUUUAAGUUGGGAGGAAGGGCAGUAAGUUAAUACCUUGCUGUUUUGACGUUACCAACAGAAUAAGCACCGGCUAACUUCGUG